This 253-nucleotide ribosomal RNA is filed under the name uncultured bacterium. RNAcentral's name for it is "partial 16S ribosomal RNA". It matches the Rfam family "Bacterial small subunit ribosomal RNA", at positions 524 to 776 of the family's 1533-position model. The record is from RNAcentral.
GACAGAGGGUGCAAACGUUGCUCGGAAUUACUGGGCGUAAAGCGCGUGUAGGCGGACCCGCAAGUCGGACGUGAAAUCCCUGAGCUCAACUCAGGAACUGCAUCCGAAACUGCGGGUCUGGAGUGGUGGAGAGGGAAGCAGAAUUCCUGGUGUAGAGGUGAAAUUCGUAGAUAUCAGGAGGAACACCGGUGGCGAAGGCGGCUUCCUGGACACUUACUGACGCUGAGACGCGAAAGCGUGGGGAGCAAACAGG